RNAcentral lists this ribosomal RNA (406 nucleotides) under uncultured bacterium. RNAcentral's name for it is "partial 16S ribosomal RNA". It matches the Rfam family "Bacterial small subunit ribosomal RNA", at positions 30 to 526 of the family's 1533-position model. The record is from RNAcentral.
AUUGAACGCUGGCGGCAGGCCUAACACAUGCAAGUCGAGCGAGCGGCGGAAGGGUGAGUAAUGUCUGGGAAACUGCAUGAUGGAGGGGGAUAACUCCUGGAAACGGUAGCUAAUACCGCAUACCAUCGGAUGUGCCCCGAUGGGAUUAUCUAGUAGGUGGGGUAAUGGCUCACCUAGGCGACGAUCCCUAGCUGGUCUGAGAGGAUUACCAGCCACACUGGACCUGAGACACGGUCCAGACUCCUACGGGAGGCAGCAGUGGGGAAUAUUGCACAAUGGGCGCAAGCCUGAUGCAGCCAUGCCGCGUGUAUGAAGAAGGCCUUCGGGUUGUAAAGUACUUUCAGCGGGGAGGCGGUACCCACAGAAGAAGCACCGGCUAACUCCGUGCCAGCCGCCGCGGUAAUUC